GAUAAACGCUGGCGGCGUGCCUAACACAUGCAAGUCGAACGCCCUGCGUAAGCAGGACGUGGCGGACGGGUGAGUAACACGUGGGUACCUACCCUUAAGUGAGGAAUAUCGGCGAGAAAUCGCCGGCAAUACCGCAUACGUUUCGCAAGAAACAAAGCUCCGCAAGGAGCGCUUGAGGAUGGGCUCGCGCCCGAUUAGCUAGUUGGUGAGGUAAUGGCUCACCAAGGCGUUGAUCGGUAGCUGGUCUGAGAGGAUGAUCAGCCACACUGGGAUUGAG
Molecule: ribosomal RNA, 277 nt
Filed under: uncultured bacterium
Lineage: Bacteria
Description: partial 16S ribosomal RNA
Rfam family: Bacterial small subunit ribosomal RNA
Source: RNAcentral